This 465-nucleotide ribosomal RNA is filed under the name Vreelandella stevensii. RNAcentral describes it as "partial 16S ribosomal RNA". It matches the Rfam family "Bacterial small subunit ribosomal RNA", at positions 338 to 795 of the family's 1533-position model. The record is from RNAcentral. Lineage: Bacteria; Pseudomonadati; Pseudomonadota; Gammaproteobacteria; Oceanospirillales; Halomonadaceae.
CCUACGGGAGGCAGCAGUGGGGAAUAUUGGACAAUGGGGGCAACCCUGAUCCAGCCAUGCCGCGUGUGUGAAGAAGGCCCUCGGGUUGUAAAGCACUUUCAGUGAGGAAGAACGCCUGGUGGUUAAUACCCAUCAGGAAAGACAUCACUCACAGAAGAAGCACCGGCUAACUCCGUGCCAGCAGCCGCGGUAAUACGGAGGGUGCGAGCGUUAAUCGGAAUUACUGGGCGUAAAGCGCGCGUAGGUGGCUUGAUAAGCCGGUUGUGAAAGCCCCGGGCUCAACCUGGGAACGGCAUCCGGAACUGUCAAGCUAGAGUGCAGGAGAGGAAGGUAGAAUUCCCGGUGUAGCGGUGAAAUGCGUAGAGAUCGGGAGGAAUACCAGUGGCGAAGGCGGCCUUCUGGACUGACACUGACGCUGAGGUGCGAAAGCGUGGGUAGCAAACAGGAUUAGAUACCCUAGUAGUC